RNAcentral lists this transfer RNA (74 nucleotides) under Myoviridae sp. ctNQV2. Its description in RNAcentral is "tRNA-Val". It matches the Rfam family "tRNA". Rfam says of the family: Transfer RNA (tRNA) molecules are approximately 80 nucleotides in length. Their secondary structure includes four short double-helical elements and three loops (D, anti-codon, and T loops). The record is from RNAcentral. Lineage: Duplodnaviria; Heunggongvirae; Uroviricota; Caudoviricetes.
UGGGGGUUAGGUCAGUGGUUUAGACCGCCACUUUUACACAGUGGAUGUCAUUGGUUCGAUUCCAAUAUCCCCAA